This 255-nucleotide ribosomal RNA is filed under the name uncultured bacterium. RNAcentral's name for it is "partial 16S ribosomal RNA". It matches the Rfam family "Bacterial small subunit ribosomal RNA", at positions 524 to 776 of the family's 1533-position model. The record is from RNAcentral.
UACGUAGGGGGCAAGCGUUUGUCCGGAUUUAUUGGGCGUAAAGAGCGUGUAGGCGGCUUUACAGGUCCGUUGUGAAAACUCGAGGCUCAACCUCGAGACGCCGGUGGAAACCGUAAAGCUAGAGUCCGGAAGAGGAGAGUGGAAUUCCUGGUGUAGCGGUGAAAUGCGCAGAUAUCAGGAGGAACACCCGUGGCGAAAGCGGCUCUCUGGGACGGUACUGACGCUGAGACGCGAAAGCGUGGGGGAGCAAACAGG